This is a long non-coding RNA of Triticum aestivum (bread wheat), 3581 nucleotides long. RefSeq lists it as uncharacterized. The record is from RefSeq and is a predicted model, not a curated record. Lineage: Eukaryota; Viridiplantae; Streptophyta; Magnoliopsida; Poales; Poaceae. The transcript is spliced from 5 exons.
AGAGAAACGCGUGCGCCUCCCCACCAUACGUAUUAACUUUUGUCAAAAUCGGUUGUCAGAUACUCAGAUCUGGGGGGGCGCCUAUCUUCUCGCUGCCUGGAUCCGAAACCCUAGCCGCCUCUCUCUCUCUCUCCUGCAGAUCUCCUACCACUACCUCCUUCCAACCGCUCUCCUCAGAUCCAUGGCUUCACUCUUCCUUCCAACAGCCUGCCACCGUGGUCCGCUGGCGAGAUGGAUCUAGCCCGCCGGGUUGAGACGCAGGCCCGCUGGCCGGACGGCAGCAACGUGCGUCCCCUCACCCGGUCCAUAUCCACAACUACUCCAGAUGGGAAACAGCACGGUGGCGACCGGGCCGCUCCCGGAGACUCUCACGGCGGCCGGCGUGCGAGCGUGUGCGCCUGUUCCUCUGAUGGGUGGGUUGGAUCUCUAUUUUAUGUUAUUAUUACAGAUGAUUUGCAUAAGGAAAACGAACAGAGAGUUUUUUUUUUAAAUCUUCUGUAUAUCACCGGAGGACAAAGCAAAAAGAGAAUCGUUGUUCAGAAGAUUCACCGGAGUACGGUUUUUAGGGUGUUUGGAUCCGUGGGAAUUUUUCCUAAAAGGAUGUGAAACUCUUUUGGGAUUUUCCCCAAGAAUUCAUGCAGUCUAUUAUUUUUGAAGAUUUUUUUCUCAAACCUCUUCUUGCAAUUCCUUUACUUUUGGUGGUGUAUAAAACACUCUUUGAUGACGUCUUUUUUUUGCCACGCCCCUUAGUACCACUUAUAUAGGUCCUGAUACAGAGAUGUAACAAUCCAAAGUACAUUUUAUUAGCCUAGCUCUGUCGCUAAGCCUUUUGAUCCUAGCACUUACCAUUCUUUAGUGUUUGUUAGUCCACUCUUCGCCAGUGCUAAGGUGAUAUGAGGGUAUGUACUAAGAUUAAAAAACUUAGUGCCGCUACUCAGCUUAGUGUUCAAUGCUAUGCUAGAUUAAUCUUAAUUAGUUUAUGGUCAUCCGUUUUAGUUAAAUUCAUAAAUUGAUAGUUUUAAAGUCUAGCUCCUAUGAUUCAUGCCAAGGUAAAUUGAAAGAGAAUAUUAAUGUAUUCAUCUUAGCUUCUAUUGUGUCGGUGGUAGAGAUGUGGAAGCUCCACUCGCUAAAGAGACGCUCGGUGAUGGAGUAAUCUAGCUAGCAUUUGUGUUAGUGAAUGGAGGAUAGAUGCUUGCAUGCUAGUAAGAGUUCAGGGCCUCUCUCGCUCAAAUCAUUGUAGUAUGAAACGUUUCUUUCUUUGUUGCAUCUUUUUGGUUCAGGAAUGAAGAAAAAGAAAAAAACCCAAAGAAGUUUCCUUUUGCCUAUGUCCCAAAGGGAAAUUAAAUAGAAAUUCAACAUCUAGUACUCCAUUUGACUUUUAAAGCGUAACAACAUUUGAGUCAUACUUUUGGUUGUGAUUCUUGUUGCUUCGAUUCGAUUUGACUUUUUUUUGAAGUGUAACAACAUUUGAGUCAUACUUUUGGUUGUGAUUCUUGUUGCUUUGAUUCGAUUUGACUUUUUUUUGAAGUGUAACAACAUUUGAGUCAUACUUUUGGUUGUGAUUCUUUUUUCUUUGAUUUGAUUCGACUUUUUUUAGCUUAUGAACAUUCAAGUAAGAUUGUGUUUCUUUGAUUUGACUUUUUUGUUAUUAAUUUUGUGUGUGCUCCUAUUAGGAUUUUAAUGAUUUUUUUAAUCAAGUGAACCAAACACAUAAUAGGUUGACAAACUUGAUGUAUCUAAUAAUGGUUUUGCAGUCGUGGUUCUAUCAGAUUGGUGCAUUUUCAAACCAUCCAUUUGUUUGUGAGGUUUAUUUGUUUUUAAAGUAUGUGCUCAUCUUUUGGGGAUGUGCGCACAUAGAGUGAGUGGUUCACAUGUGUACUAGUAGGGUCGGCCUGUCUCCAUUUUCAUUUUGGUAGCAGUCGUGUUGCAGCCAAAGCUGUCCACUCGAAAUGAAUGAAUGGAGGCUGUCCACUCGUUCUCUCUCUCUCUCUGGAAAGAUCCAUCCAAUCCACGGACAUAUUUUGUACUCCCUCCGUCCGAAAAUAAACGUCUCAAGCUUAGUGUAACUUUGUACUAAAGUUAAUACAAAGAUGAGACACUUAUUUUGGGAUGGAGAGAGUACUACUUACUAGGCUAGCAAUAGUUUUUUCUUCUGCUGUUUCCUUGCUGUACGAGUAUUCAUUCAUGCUUGUUCUUGAGGUAAGGAAAGACCUUGGAUUCCUUGGCCUGUUCUCAGAUGAUGAUGUUGCUCUCUAUACAAUUGUUUGUUGAGGCACGUAGGCCACCCCCACCGCUCUGGAUUUGCUCGUGACAGACAGGCCGUCUGCUGCUGCAUUUGAUUUCUUGCUUGUGAAGGUUUCUAGAUCCUGAUGCAUAGUCAACUUGAUCGUGACCCAUGAACUCUCGGUAAUUGAUCAUCUCUUCUUUAUUUUAAACCAUAUACUUUUUUCCAUGUUGUUUUGGUCUGACUAGACAGUUUACUGAUUUCUUUUUUGUUUCUGUUAAAAUUUGCCAAGCGCCUGAGGUUACAGAAUGCAUCUUAUGGUAAAGAAGAGAUGCUUGAGGAGGGAGUAAUUAGUUAGCAUUUGUUUUAGUUAGUUAAUGGAAGUGCAGAUGCUUGCAUGCUAGUGAGAGAGUGUAGGGCCUUUGAUUUGGUUUUUAGUGCUCCCUCCGAUCCAUAUUAGUUGUUGUUUAAAUGGAUGUAUAUAUAUAUAGCAUUGAAAUACAUCUGUUUGAGCGACAAGUAAUAUGGAUCGGAGGGAGUAGUAUUUUUGUGUUUCUGCCAAGUAAUAAGAUCUUGAUUUUUAUAUUCUAGUGAACCAAAAAAAAUAUAAUAAUUUACCAAAAUUUAUGUGUCUUUUCAUGCUGCAGGCUAUCAUACUCGUGCUUUUUUUCAAUUUCCUUGUUGUGCAUGUAUGCAUGUUUAUCGGCAUGUUGUUGGAUUCCUUGGCUCAUAGGAAAACCAUUGGAGUAUGAAACGUUUCUUUGGGUUAUGUAAUUUCGUGUACUACGCACAAGCAACAGUUUUCCUUUUUUUUAGCAUAUGUUCAUGAGGAUCUUGGAUUUUUCUUCUUCAGGCGUGUCGACGACCCAUGACCUCGGCAAAAUGGAUUUGCUCGUGACAAGAAGCCGUAUGCUGCUGCUGCAUUUGAUGUCUUGUGAAGGUGUCAAUCCUGAUCCAUACGGAGCUUUGAUUAGACACAUGCACUCCUGGCAUAUGUAGGUGACCUGCAACUCCGCGACAUGGAUUUGCUAGUGCCACAACAUAUGGUGUCUUGUGUUUUACGACCCAUGGUCUCUAGACGCGUUCUUCUGCAUGUUACAGCUGCUUCCUGCAAGCACCAGAAAGAAAGACAAAGUUUUAUGACUAACUAGGCGCAUCUCUCAAGAUGUCAGUCACAAUUUAUCUUAUCCUACCGGAAGGACAUGACUUCUUUUCCAAAAACUGAGCUGCUGGAGUUUUGAAGUGUAAACUGAGAUGUACAUUUCGACUGAUGUUCCUUGUAAAAUGGGGGCUGCUGCAAAACAGUAGUAUGAAUGCUGGCACAUGCAUAUGUUAAUCACAUCAAUUGUUUGUUUGA